AACGAACGCUGGCGGCAUGCCUAACACAUGCAAGUCGAACGAGACCUUCGGGUCUAGUGGCGCACGGGUGCGUAACGCGUGGGAACCUGCCCUUAGGUUCGGAAUAACUCCCCGAAAGGGGUGCUACUACCGGAUAAUGUCUUCGGACCAAAGAUUUAUCGCCUUUGGAUGGUCCCGCGUUGGAUUAGCUAGUUGGUAGGGUAAAAGCCUACCAAGGCGACGAUCCAUAGCUGGUCUGAGAGGAUGAUCAGCCACACUGGGACUGAGACACGGCCCAGACUCCUACGGGAGGCAGCAGUGGGGAAUAUUGGACAAUGGGCGAAAGCCUGAUCCAGCAAUGCCGCGUGAGUGAUGAAGGCCUUAGGGUUGUAAAGCUCUUUUACCCGGGAUGAUAAUGACAGUACCGGGAGAAUAAGCUCCGGCUAACUCCGUG
Molecule: ribosomal RNA, 433 nt
Filed under: uncultured bacterium
Lineage: Bacteria
Description: partial 16S ribosomal RNA
Rfam family: Bacterial small subunit ribosomal RNA
Source: RNAcentral